RNAcentral lists this ribosomal RNA (512 nucleotides) under uncultured bacterium. RNAcentral's name for it is "bacterial SSU rRNA". It matches the Rfam family "Bacterial small subunit ribosomal RNA", at positions 37 to 518 of the family's 1533-position model. The record is from RNAcentral.
UGGCGGCGUGCUUAACACAUGCAAGUCGAACGGGACUGAUUGAAAGCUUGCUUUGAAAAGUCUAGUGGCAAACGGGUGAGUAACGCGUAGGCAACCUGCCUCUAAGAUGGGGACAACAGCCCGAAAGGGCUGCUAAUACCGAAUGUUGUAAGUAACUCGCAUGAGAGACUUACCAAAGAUGGCCUCUGCUUGUAAGCUAUCACUUAGAGAUGGGCCUGCGUCUGAUUAGCUAGUUGGUGGGGUAACGGCUCACCAAGGCGACGAUCAGUAGCCGGUCUGAGAGGAUGAACGGCCACAUUGGGACUGAGACACGGCCCAGACUCCUACGGGAGGCAGCAGUGGGGAAUCUUCCGCAAUGGGCGAAAGCCUGACGGAGCAACGCCGCGUGAAGUGAAGAAGGUCUUCGGAUCGUAAAGCUCUGUCGAAGGGGACGAAUGUGGGUUCUAUCAACAACGGAACCUAAUGACGGUACCUUUCAAGAAAGCCACGGCUAACUACGUGCCAGCAGCGGC